This 382-nucleotide ribosomal RNA is filed under the name uncultured Pseudoflavonifractor sp. Its description in RNAcentral is "bacterial SSU rRNA". It matches the Rfam family "Bacterial small subunit ribosomal RNA", at positions 355 to 753 of the family's 1533-position model. Lineage: Bacteria; Bacillati; Bacillota; Clostridia; Eubacteriales; Oscillospiraceae. The record is from RNAcentral.
UGGGGAAUAUUGCACAAUGGAGGAAACUCUGAUGCAGCGAUGCCGCGUGAGGGAAGAAGGUUUUCGGAUUGUAAACCUCUGUCUUCAGGGACGAAAAUGACGGUACCUGAGGAGGAAGCUCCGGCUAACUACGUGCCAGCAGCCGCGGUAAUACGUAGGUGGCAAGCGUUAUCCGGAUUUACUGGGUGUAAAGGGCGUGUAGGCGGGAUUGCAAGUCAGAUGUGAAAACCACGGGCUCAACCUGUGGCCUGCAUUUGAAACUGUAGUUCUUGAGUACUGGAGAGGCAGACGGAAUUCCUAGUGUAGCGGUGAAAUGCGUAGAUAUUAGGAGGAACACCAGUGGCGAAGGCGGUCUGCUGGACAGCAAACUGACGCUGAGGCG